GACGAACGCUGGCGGCGUGCCUAAUACAUGCAAGUAGAACGCACAGUUUAUACCGUAGCUUGCUACACCAUAGACUGUGAGUUGCGAACGGGUGAGUAACGCGUAGGUAACCUGCCUGGUAGCGGGGGAUAACUAUUGGAAACGAUAGCUAAUACCGCAUAAUAUUGAUUAUUGCAUGAUAAUUAAUUGAAAGGUGCAAUUGCACCACUACCAGAUGGACCUGCGUUGUAUUAGCUAGUAGGUGAGGUAACGGCUCACCUAGGCGACGAUACAUAGCCGACCUGAGAGAGUGAUCGGCCACACUGGGACUGAGACACGGCCCAGACUCCUACGGGAGGCAGCAGUAGGGAAUCUUCGGCAAUGGACGAAAGUCUGACCGAGCAACGCCGCGUGAGUGAAGAAGGUUUUCGGAUCGUAAAGCUCUGUUGUAAGAGAAGAACGGGUGUGAGAGUGGAAAGUUCACACUGUGACGGUAUCUUACCAGAAAGGGACGGCUAACUACGUG
This 505-nucleotide ribosomal RNA is filed under the name uncultured bacterium. Its description in RNAcentral is "partial 16S ribosomal RNA". It matches the Rfam family "Bacterial small subunit ribosomal RNA", at positions 28 to 507 of the family's 1533-position model. The record is from RNAcentral.